CGGUAGGUGAGGUUUCUGGAAUGAUAUGAAAAGCUCGUGUUUUGUCGUGUCUCGAAGUGUGGAGGUGCGGUGCUCAUAGGAUUGUAAGCACUUGACUGGGCAUAAGAGCGGUCUGUCGGGGAACGCUGGGUAUGACACCGACUUCGAGGACGUCUUCGUUCUGCGAGAGAUAUCGAAGGAGACCCCCUCUGGGGUGUAAGGGCGUGCGGUAAUGUCCAGAGCUCUGACAUCGGAUACCCUUUUGCAAGAUAUGAGGCAGAGGAGUAUAGCCAGCUUGGCCGACAAUUGUUUCAGGGACAGCUGCGCAUUGUCCGGCCAUGAUUCAAUGAAUUUGAGGACGAUGGAGACGUCCUAUAGCAUCGAAUAUCG
Non-coding RNA from Pelobates cultripes (western spadefoot toad), 369 nucleotides. NCBI's taxonomy places the organism in Eukaryota, Metazoa, Chordata, Amphibia, Anura, Pelobatidae. The record is from the annotation of a GenBank genome assembly.